This 58-nucleotide transfer RNA is filed under the name Salmo salar (Atlantic salmon). It matches the Rfam family "tRNA", at positions 8 to 63 of the family's 71-position model. From Rfam's summary of the family: Transfer RNA (tRNA) molecules are approximately 80 nucleotides in length. Their secondary structure includes four short double-helical elements and three loops (D, anti-codon, and T loops). Further hydrogen bonds mediate the characteristic L-shaped molecular structure. tRNAs have two regions of fundamental functional importance: the anti-codon, which is responsible for specific mRNA codon recognition, and the 3' end, to which the tRNAs corresponding amino acid is attached (by aminoacyl-tRNA synthetases). tRNAs cope with the degeneracy of the genetic code in two manners: having more than one tRNA (with a specific anti-codon) for a particular amino acid; and 'wobble' base-pairing, i.e. permitting non-standard base-pairing at the 3rd anti-codon position. The record is from Rfam by way of RNAcentral. RNAcentral also lists the same sequence under 1 other name. Lineage: Eukaryota; Metazoa; Chordata; Actinopteri; Salmoniformes; Salmonidae.
UAGCCCAGUUGGUAGAGCAUGGUGCUUGCAAUGCUAGGGUUGUGGGUUCAAUUCCCAC